CGACGCAGGUCGGAAGACUGUGCAUUUGCCUAUUGCUUCAUUCCUGGAAGCUGUACUGGAACUGUGAUUAAGCAGUCGCCACGGAGGUUCCCCAGAUGGAGGGAGAGAGGAGUAAGAAGUGAUCCCGAACAUAAAUAAACAUCCUGAAAGAAAACAAAAGAACCCCAGAAUUCUUAACAGAACAGUGAGUACUUUAAUAACAUGGUAAUUAUAAUAGAUCUUCUGUAAAAUUAGAUCUUACAAAUGUCUUUUAUUAAAAUAUUUGCCUUUCUGUU
RNAcentral lists this long non-coding RNA (275 nucleotides) under Oryctolagus cuniculus (rabbit). RNAcentral's name for it is "lncRNA (ENSOCUG00000034044.1)". The record is from RNAcentral. Lineage: Eukaryota; Metazoa; Chordata; Mammalia; Lagomorpha; Leporidae.